GCGUGGAGCCAACCUUGAAAUACCACCCUUUAAUGUUUGAUGUUCUAACGUGGACCCGUAAUCCGGGUUGCGGACAGUGUCUGGUGGGUAGUUUGACUGGGGCGGUCUCCUCCUAAAGAGUAACGGAGGAGCACGAAGGUUGGCUAAUCCUGGUCGGACAUCAGGAGGUUAGUGCAAUGGCAUAAGCCAGCUUGACUGCGAGCGUGACGGCGCGAGCAGGUGCGAAAGCAGGUCAUAGUGAUCCGGUGGUUCUGAAUGGAAGGGCCAUCGCUCAACGGAUAAAAGGUACUCCGGGGAUAACAGGCUGAUACCGCCCAAGAGUUCAUAUCGACGGCGGUGUUUGGCACCUCGAUGUCGGCUCAUCACAUCCUGGGGCUGAAGUAGGUCCCAAGGGUAUGGCUGUUCGCCAUUUAAAGUGGUACGCGAGCUGGGUUUAGAACGUCGUGAGACAGUUCGGUCCCUAUCUGCCGUGGGCGCUGGAGAACUGAGGGGGGCUGCUCCUAGUACGAGAGGACCGGAGUGGACGCAUCACUGGUGUUCGGGUUGUCAUGCCAAUGGCACUGCCCGGUAGCUAAAUGCGGAAGAGAUAAGUGCUGAAAGCAUCUAAGCACGAAACUUGCCCCGA
RNAcentral lists this ribosomal RNA (625 nucleotides) under Salmonella enterica. Its description in RNAcentral is "partial 23S ribosomal RNA". It matches the Rfam family "Bacterial large subunit ribosomal RNA", at positions 2178 to 2802 of the family's 2925-position model. Lineage: Bacteria; Pseudomonadati; Pseudomonadota; Gammaproteobacteria; Enterobacterales; Enterobacteriaceae. The record is from RNAcentral. RNAcentral also lists the same sequence under 1 other name.